Molecule: long non-coding RNA, 246 nt
Filed under: Elaeis guineensis (African oil palm)
Lineage: Eukaryota; Viridiplantae; Streptophyta; Magnoliopsida; Arecales; Arecaceae
Description: long non-coding RNA (EGUI_LNC078163)
Source: RNAcentral
UGGGUUGGGGUGGGUUUGCCCGUCUUGACAGCUUUAGUCCUUGGGCCAUUCGAUCGCAUCUCAUGAAGCCUCAUCCACAUGUCCGAACCUCCUGAUCAACUCUGGACCAUCCGAUCCAUGUCCGGCAUUGAUUACAAUCAUUGGAUUGCGCAGUCAAUCCAUGGAGAAGCCCAUAGACCAAGAGAAAUCCUCUAGAAAAUAACAUCGAUCCACCAUAGACUGCACAAAACCCAGGAAAAAUGGUCG